Zophobas morio is the source of this 406-nucleotide long non-coding RNA. RefSeq lists it as uncharacterized. Lineage: Eukaryota; Metazoa; Arthropoda; Insecta; Coleoptera; Tenebrionidae. The record is from RefSeq and is a predicted model, not a curated record. The transcript is spliced from 4 exons.
UACUUUUUUUUAAAAAAAAUCUUUUUAAGUCAUUCUUUAUGACUUUACAGGUUAAACAAGUCAUAAACCAACAGCUACCGGGAGUGGAAGUGUACGGGUACAAGCAGCUACCAUCUCAACCAAUUUUAAACUUAUUAAAUUUUAUAAAUGUUUUGCAAGUUUGUGCAAUUGUGGUUAUCCUUGUGGGCGACAGAAUAAAUUAUUUUAGGCCCCCACCCUCUUGGUUGUCCUCCUUGCAAAAAAAUAAACUGCUUUCAUGUCUAUGCAUUUGGACAAUUGGGAAUUUGAUUGUUUCGCAAUUACUUGCUACGGGUGCUUUUGAGAUCUCUAUUAAAGAUAAAAUGAUAUGGUCGAAGCUUGAAAAGGGUAGGCUUCCUGCUACUCCCGAAGAGCUAAUCUCAUUAAU